UACGUAGGGUGCGAGCGUUAAUCGGAAUUACUGGGCGUAAAGCGUGCGCAGGCGGUCUGUUAAGACAGAUGUGAAAUCCCCGGGCUUAACCUGGGAACUGUAUUUGUGACUGGCAGGCUAGAGUAUGGCAGAGGGGGGUAGAAUUCCACGUGUAGCAGUGAAAUGCGUAGAGAUGUGGAGGAAUACCGAUGGCGAAGGCAGCCCCCUGGGCCAAUACUGACGCUCAUGCACGAAAGCGUGGGGAGCAAACAGG
RNAcentral lists this ribosomal RNA (253 nucleotides) under uncultured bacterium. RNAcentral describes it as "partial 16S ribosomal RNA". It matches the Rfam family "Bacterial small subunit ribosomal RNA", at positions 524 to 776 of the family's 1533-position model. The record is from RNAcentral.